CCCUUAGACGUUCUGGGCCGCACGCGCGCUACACUGACCAGUGCAACAAGCAUCCGUCCUUGGCCGACAGGCCCGGGCAAUCUUUGAACGCUGGUCGUGAUGGGGAUAGACUAUUGCAAUUAUUGGUCUUCAACGAGGAAUUCCUAGUAGACGUAGUUCAUCAGACUGCAUCGAUUACGUCCCUGCCCUUUGUACACACCGCCCGUCGCUCCUACCGAUUGGAUGAUCCGGUGAGCUAUUCGGACCUUCGCUUCGUCGAUUUUCGGCUUUGUGAGGGAAAGUCUCGCGAACCUUAUCAUCUAGAGGAAGGAGAAGUCGUAACA
This 323-nucleotide ribosomal RNA is filed under the name uncultured eukaryote. RNAcentral's name for it is "partial 18S ribosomal RNA". It matches the Rfam family "Eukaryotic small subunit ribosomal RNA", at positions 1470 to 1796 of the family's 1831-position model. The record is from RNAcentral.